CAGAGAGUGUGUGCCAGCAGCCGCGGUAAUACGUAUGGUGCAAGCGUUAUCCGGAUUUACUGGGUGUAAAGGGAGCGCAGGCGGUGCGGCAAGUCUGAUGUGAAAGCCCGGGGCUCAACCCCGGUACUGCAUUGGAAACUGUCGUACUAGAGUGUCGGAGGGGUAAGCGGAAUUCCUAGUGUAGCGGUGAAAUGCGUAGAUAUUAGGAGGAACACCAGUGGCGAAGGCGGCUUACUGGACGAUAACUGACGCUGAGGCUCGAAAGCGUGGGGAGCAAACAGG
This 282-nucleotide ribosomal RNA is filed under the name Roseburia faecis M72/1. Its description in RNAcentral is "partial 16S ribosomal RNA". It matches the Rfam family "Bacterial small subunit ribosomal RNA", at positions 494 to 776 of the family's 1533-position model. Lineage: Bacteria; Bacillati; Bacillota; Clostridia; Lachnospirales; Lachnospiraceae. The record is from RNAcentral.